GCCUUCGUAGUGUAGUAGUCAGCAUGCUUGACCCGUAACCGAGACGUGCGUGGUUCGAUUCCCGCCAAAGGCG
RNAcentral lists this transfer RNA (73 nucleotides) under Stegodyphus mimosarum. It matches the Rfam family "tRNA". Rfam says of the family: Transfer RNA (tRNA) molecules are approximately 80 nucleotides in length. Their secondary structure includes four short double-helical elements and three loops (D, anti-codon, and T loops). The record is from Rfam by way of RNAcentral. Lineage: Eukaryota; Metazoa; Arthropoda; Arachnida; Araneae; Eresidae.